AUGGUGAAGUGUGUACUUUCUACCCCACAGCGACUGAAUAGCAAAAAUAAUUGUUUUCACACAGGUUUCCUUGAACAUGCCUCUCAUCUGUCAUUGGUCAGACCAACAGAUAGCAACGCCCUCAAACUCACACCAUCUGUUGCUGUUGUCGGACAUCCUUAUUUGGCCUUGACUCGUGCAUCCAUGAGGAUAUGCAAAAGAACAGCAGACUUGGCAAAAUUCCAUCUUUCCCCUCCAAUCAAGACAGCAUUACUAAUAAACAUUUGACUAAAACAUUUUUAAAACUAAUCAGUGUUUAAUUAAACAUGUCUAUGUUUGUGUGCAUGUUUAUAUAUGUGUAUAAACCUGGUUGCUGUUGUAUUGCAAUAAAGAUUAGGUGCUGCUGAACGCAGCUUUUGUCUGGACACACACACACACACACACACACACACACACACACACACACACACACACACACACACACACAGGGAUGUGUUAUUCUUUCUUCCAGACAUAUUUUUUGAAAUGUGAACAUCCUGUCAAAACGUGCAGAUUGCAGCAUGCACAAAAAUAUAAACUUCUGUCUUUAUUAAAUAUUAUGUUUCCCUCUCUGUGCAUACAUACAGACUUACUGUAACACUAUUUUUAUGUUGUUUUGGUGUCUAGCAGCACGGAGAUGGUCAGAACAUCCUUGAAUAUUUUUUAUUUUUUAAUUUUUUUUAUGGCUAAGGAUGAAAGAGAUUAGUUGAAAAUUAAAGGCUUUCAUAUUUACUCUGCUGGUGUUUUUCUCUUGUCGUGCCGCUCUAUAAACCCAAGCGCUUUGCAGAACCUUUCUUUAGAAGUUCGUAAGCCUCUGCCUCUAUAUGUGUGUGUGUGUGUGUGUGUUUUUGCAAUCAGAGUCUGUGCUGUGGCUUAUUGGUUUGGUGUAAUUUGGGAGUAGCUCUAUUAAAAGAGAUGCUUUUGUUUACACAACAUUUUGACAGCGUUCCCCUGCCCCUCCCAGAACAUUAUGGUUAGAGUGUGGGAUACAGGCUUCGUAUAGCUGCACGAAGACAGGCUUGAAGAAAGUGACCACACGACCAUCCCUCUGACCAUACUUAGACACGGUAACAGUAACUUUACUGCAGGAGAGAGCGUUGUGUGUGUGUGUGUGUGAGAGAGAGAGAGAGAGAGAGUACAGAAGCAGUAGUGGGUUUCUUGCUUGGGUUGGCAUGGUUCUCGGUGAGUGAAGAUUAAACAUAGCACUGCUGACAGAGAGAAAUGCCUUAUACAAACAAGAUCCACUCACAGAGAGAUGUGUGAGUGAAAGAACGAGGGGAGAGAGAGAGAUAAAGAAGGAAAAGAACAACAAAAUUACCAAAAACUUCACUUUCAGAUCGUUAUCCUAAAAUGUCCACAUAACAAUAUAAUGAAUUGGUCACACUGUAAAAUAUAUAUGGCAAGUCAAUUAACGUUAACUCAACUUACAACUGUGAACUU
Molecule: long non-coding RNA, 1458 nt
Organism: Cyprinus carpio carpio
Lineage: Eukaryota; Metazoa; Chordata; Actinopteri; Cypriniformes; Cyprinidae
Source: Ensembl